CGCACAUUGCGCCCACUGGUAUUCCGGUGGGCAUGCCUGUUCGAGCGUCAUUACAACCCUCAAGCUCUGCUUGGUAAUGGGUGACACCUAUGGUGCACCUUAAAAUUAGUGGCGGUGCCAUUAGGCUUCAAGCGUAGUAAUCUUCUCGCCUUGGAGCCUUAGUGGCUCACCUGCCAAAACCCCCAAUUUUAUCAAAAGGUUGACCUCGGAUCAGGUAGGGAUACCCGCUGAACUUAA
This 237-nucleotide unclassified non-coding RNA is filed under the name Helotiales sp. RNAcentral describes it as "partial contains 5.8S ribosomal RNA, internal transcribed spacer 2, and large subunit ribosomal RNA". Lineage: Eukaryota; Fungi; Ascomycota; Leotiomycetes; Helotiales. The record is from RNAcentral.